This 1157-nucleotide unclassified non-coding RNA is filed under the name Hevea brasiliensis (rubber tree). The record is from RNAcentral. Lineage: Eukaryota; Viridiplantae; Streptophyta; Magnoliopsida; Malpighiales; Euphorbiaceae.
AAAGAAUUUAAAAAAAAAAAAUUGUAAUACAUGCCAGACCCUAAAUAUUAAAAAAAAAAAAAUUUAAAACCCUAAACCGUAUAUAAACAAUCUCACAACCCUAACCUUACAUUUGUAAAGGAACCUAACCUUGAUUAGGUUAGAUUUCCUAAAAGCCAAUAAAUCAAUAACCAGGCUUGUAACUUUGCCUACAAAUUUAGCAUUUAUAACCACUAUGCCAUUGAACUAUUAUAUAAUAUUGUAGCCUUGAGUGCUUGUCUCUUAAUCUAAAAGGUGAGAGUUUAAUUUUUUUUAUCUAAGUUUCUUCAAAUUUCUAAUAUGCCUAUCUCAAAAUAUUUUAUCAUUAAGGUAGUAUUUGGCUUAAUUUUAAAAUUUUUAAAAUUUACUAUUUGUUAAUUCUUGAAUUUUGCUAUAGAGUAAAUUAAUGUUAUAGAAUAAAACUGCAUGCUUAGUAAAUAUACGAUUUUCUGUAAUUUUUUUUACAUUAAUCCACUUCAUUUUGGAGUAUGGUUUGCUCUUUCUUAUAUAUAUUGAUUUUAUUUGCAAUUUUCAUGUUGUUUUGCUUUUAAACAAUUAGCUUUUAAUACACAAAUAAGUCCUUAAAAAAAAGUAUGUAGUAAUUAAAUUCACUUUUUAAUGACGAUAGAAAUGCUAAAUCCAUUAAAUAAAUAAAUAAAAGAAAUAAAUAAACACAACACAUAUUUAUGUGGUUUAUCUUCUCAUUAAUGGUAUAAUACACUCAACUUCUAAUCACAAUAUAGUAUAGUAAAUAGAAUAUUUUAUCCCUCUCAUUCUCCUCUACACAUAACUAAGCUAUCUACUAUUUUAAUAUCGUAAUAUGCUAUAAAUGGUAUCUUCACUGCAUGGGCAAUAAUUCACUCAAUGGUGGACAAGAGUCAUUUUUAGACUCUAUGCUGUUUCUCCAUCUAUGGAUUGGAAUGGAUUAGAGUUCUUCCUUUUGGACUCUAAAAUAUCAUUUCUCUGUUCAUUUGCUAAAGCCAAAUAGCCUCUACUUCAAUGCUUAUGUUUAUAGUGUUAAUUCAUUUAAUUUUAAUUCCAAUAAGAACCUCUCUCAAUUAGUAAUGAUAAUAAAUUAUAAGUCUUAAACUAUAUAAGAAAUAAUUCUACAUCCAAUGAAGAAUAUUUUUUCCAUUUUA